UUUCCCUGUCCUUCUCUUCUGUCGGAAGCAACAGGAAGAAGCCUGGGGAGCCUGGGUUUUCCAGAGAGCUGUGACCAGGUGUCUGAAGAGUCUGCAUGAGAAGAAGCAGAGCCAGGAAGAAGGGAUCAAGCUGUUCAUUAGAAGAGCGGACAGGCUCACAAGGACCUUUCCCAGAACACACACAAAGCACCUCUCUGGAUCUGAACAAGGUCAGGUGGCCAAGACAACCAGGACCAGUGCUCAAGUUGUACCACACCAAGAUCAAAGGAAGCUAUUAACCUAGUACAUGAAAAUUUCAGAAACAAAUGGAUUCCAUUCUUCCUCCAACUCUGUUUCCUUCUGCCUUGACCUUUCCAGCCCAGCCUACUCCCUAGGUCUUUCAGGGGCAUACAUGAGACUCUGAAAU
Balaenoptera acutorostrata (minke whale) is the source of this 406-nucleotide long non-coding RNA. RefSeq lists it as uncharacterized. The record is from RefSeq and is a predicted model, not a curated record. The transcript is spliced from 4 exons. NCBI's taxonomy places the organism in Eukaryota, Metazoa, Chordata, Mammalia, Artiodactyla, Balaenopteridae.